UCUAAUAUGGCAGAAUAGUGUAAUGGAUUUARSCCCCAUAUAUAAGGUUUAMCCUUUUUUUGGAAA
RNAcentral lists this transfer RNA (66 nucleotides) under Aleochara stichai. RNAcentral describes it as "tRNA leu". The record is from RNAcentral. Lineage: Eukaryota; Metazoa; Arthropoda; Insecta; Coleoptera; Staphylinidae.